GUUUUUUUAGAAAUAAAUUUAAUUUACAAAUUUUUAAUUUUUUUUUUAUUUAUUUAAUUAAAAAAUUUAUUAAUUUGAAUAUCUUGAGGGAUAAGCUUUAAGAUAAAUUAUUAAAAAUUAAUAUUUAUUAUAUAAAAUGUAUGCUUAGAAUUAGCAAUCAUUUAUGAUUUUGUUAUAAAUUAUUUUAUAAUUUAUAAUAUUUAUUAAUAUUUUAAUUUUUUAUAAAAAUAUUUUUAUUAAUUUUUAAUAAAAAGUGAUAAUGAUUAAAUUAGUAUAUUUUAUUGUUUAAAUAAUUUUAUAAGAUAAGUUUAUAUAAAGAACUCGGCAAAUAAUAUACUCGCCUGUUUAACAAAAACAUGUCUUUUUGAGUUAAUUUUAAAGUCUAACCUGCCCACUGAAUAUUUGAAUGGCCGCAGUAUUUUAACUGUGCAAAGGUAGCAUAAUCAUUAGUCUUUUAAUUGAAGGCUGGUAUGAAUGGUUGGACGAAGUAUAAACUGUUUCAUAUAAAUUUAUAAUAGAAUUUUAUAUUUUAGUUAAAAAGCUAAAAUAUUAUUAAAAGACGAGAAGACCCUAUAAAUCUUUAUAUUUAUUUUUAUUUAAAUUUUUUGGAUAUAUUUUAUUUUUAUAAUUAUAAAUAUUUUAUUGGGGUGAUAUUAAAAUUUAAUAAACUUUUAAUUAUAAAAAUUCAUUAAUUUAUGAUUUAUUGAUCCAUUAAUAUUGAUUAUAAGAUUAAGUUACUUUAGGGAUAACAGCGUAAUUUUUUUAGAGAGUUCUUAUUGAUAAAAAAGUUUGCGACCUCGAUGUUGGAUUAAGAUAUAUUUUUAGGUGUAGCUGCUUAAAUAUU
Molecule: ribosomal RNA, 844 nt
Filed under: Rhagoletis basiola
Lineage: Eukaryota; Metazoa; Arthropoda; Insecta; Diptera; Tephritidae
Description: partial 16S ribosomal RNA
Source: RNAcentral